RNAcentral lists this transfer RNA (73 nucleotides) under Cordylochernes scorpioides. RNAcentral's name for it is "tRNA-Thr". The record is from RNAcentral. Lineage: Eukaryota; Metazoa; Arthropoda; Arachnida; Pseudoscorpiones; Chernetidae.
GUCCAGGGGCGGGAAUCGAACCCACAUCCUUCUGCUUACCGGGCAGGUGCCAUGUCCACUAGGCUACCCUGGA